RNAcentral lists this long non-coding RNA (405 nucleotides) under Setaria italica (foxtail millet). RNAcentral describes it as "long non-coding RNA (SITA_LNC004157)". Lineage: Eukaryota; Viridiplantae; Streptophyta; Magnoliopsida; Poales; Poaceae. The record is from RNAcentral.
CAUGAGGCCAGAAAAUUGAAUAGUGCUCCUACUAAGUCCUAACCCUGUUGGCGUCGCAGCUGUUCUUCUUCUUCAAGCUCAAACAAGGAAGAAAGGCGCUGUGGUUCCCUGAUAGUGCCAGUACUCCCCUCUACAAUGGCGCGUGCUUUAUGCAGUGCAGGGAAGGCGCCAGGCUACGACAAAAGCUGGCCGGGCGUACAGCAAAAGCUUCAUUGCACCAACGAAAGAUCCAUCCGGAUUUGUUCUUCAUCAAUGCCGGGAAGAAGCGAUUAAGCUGCCUGCUCCCCUCACUCGGAGCCUGUCCAAUGGCAACGUCCAAGCGCGCCAAACCAAGGAUCAAAGCUGCCAUUAGAUACUAAUCCUGUGCUGCUAGUGCGUGCUGCGUAUGGCUGCCCUGCCGGCCGU